CCCUGAAUAGCUCAGUCAGUAGAGCAUGAGCCUCUUAAUCUUAGGGUCAUGGGUUCAAGUCCCAUGUUGGGCG
Podarcis lilfordi (Lilford's wall lizard) is the source of this 73-nucleotide non-coding RNA. The record is from the annotation of a GenBank genome assembly. Lineage: Eukaryota; Metazoa; Chordata; Lepidosauria; Squamata; Lacertidae.